UACGAGGGGGGGCAAGCGUUAAUCGGAAUUACUGGGCGUAAAGCGUGCGCAGGCGGUUUUGUAAGUUUGUCGUGAAAGCCCCGGGCUCAACCUGGGAAUUGCGAUGAAGACUGCAAGGCUUGAAUCUGGCAGAGGGGGGUAGAAUUCCACGUGUAGCAGUGAAAUGCGUAGAGAUGUGGAGGAACACCGAUGGCGAAGGCAGCCCCCUGGGUCAAGAUUGACGCUCAUGCACGAAAGCGUGGGGAGCAACAGG
Molecule: ribosomal RNA, 253 nt
Filed under: uncultured bacterium
Lineage: Bacteria
Description: partial 16S ribosomal RNA
Rfam family: Bacterial small subunit ribosomal RNA
Source: RNAcentral